GUGUUUAAUAGUGGACGGCUCACCUACGCGUUCCGGCAUCGCGACAGGUUUCUUAUGCGGGCGCGGUUUUGCGUUUAGAUUCUUUAAACCGUACCAGUUAUUGUUUUCAUAUACCUGCUUUGUUCCUUUUGCAAGAGCACCUGCAUCAGGGAAUGGAAUCAAGGAAAGCGAUCCUACCUGCGCAUAGGAGGAGUGGCCAUUAACGGUAAUUCCUUGAAUUGUUAAGUUGCGUGCUGGUCCGCGGGAACCGAUUCCAUCCGCAUUGGCAACAACGAGAUUUUUAUUAACGGAAUCGACGGCGAUAUCUACCGGGAACCAUGCUGUUGGUAAUAAGCCCUGUAAUUCAGGCGUUUUAUCCGGUCCUUUCCAGUCAUAGACGGCAAUCGCAUUG
This 391-nucleotide non-coding RNA is filed under the name Bacillus methanolicus MGA3. The record is from RNAcentral. Lineage: Bacteria; Bacillati; Bacillota; Bacilli; Caryophanales; Bacillaceae.